RNAcentral lists this ribosomal RNA (497 nucleotides) under uncultured bacterium. RNAcentral describes it as "partial 16S ribosomal RNA". It matches the Rfam family "Bacterial small subunit ribosomal RNA", at positions 28 to 507 of the family's 1533-position model. The record is from RNAcentral.
GAUGAACGCUGGCGGCGUGCCUAAUACAUGCAAGUCGAGCGAACAGACGAGGAGCUUGCUCCUCUGACGUUAGCGGCGGACGGGUGAGUAACACGUGGAUAACCAACCUAUAAGACUGGGAUAACUUCGGGAAACCGGAGCUAAUACCGGAUAAUAUAUUGAACCGCAUGGUUCAAUAGUGAAAGACGGUUUUGCUGUCACUUAUAGAUGGAUCCGCGCCGCAUUAGCUAGUUGGUAAGGUAACGGCUUACCAAGGCAACGAUGCGUAGCCGACCUGAGAGGGUGAUCGGCCACACUGGAACUGAGACACGGUCCAGACUCCUACGGGAGGUAGCAGUAGGGAAUCUUCCGCAAUGGGCGAAAGCCUGACGGAGCAACGCCGCGUGAGUGAUGAAGGUCUUCGGAUCGUAAAACUCUGUUAUUAGGGAAGAACAAAUGUGUAAGUAACUAUGCACGUCUUGACGGUACCUAAUCAGAAAGCCACGGCUAACUACGUG